RNAcentral lists this unclassified non-coding RNA (508 nucleotides) under uncultured Glomus. RNAcentral's name for it is "SSU rRNA". It matches the Rfam family "Eukaryotic small subunit ribosomal RNA", at positions 569 to 1082 of the family's 1831-position model. The record is from RNAcentral. Lineage: Eukaryota; Fungi; Glomeromycota; Glomeromycetes; Glomerales; Glomeraceae.
CGCAGCCGCGGUAAUUCCAGCUCCAAUAGCGUAUAUUAAAGUUGUUGCAGUUAAAAAGCUCGUAGUUGAAUUUCGGGAUCAAAGAAUCGGUCAUGCCUUGGUAUGUACUGGUUUUAUUGGUUCUCACCUUCUAAAGAACCAUGAUGUCAUUCAUUUGAUGUUAUGGGGAAUUAGGACUGUUACCUUGAAAAAUUAGAGUGUUUAAAGCAAGCUUACGCUUGAAUACAUUAGCAUGGAAUAAUGAAAUAGGACAUCAGAUUCUAUUUUGUUGGUUUCUAGGAUCGAUGUAAUGAUUAAUAGGGAUAGUUGGGGGCAUUAGUAUUCAAUUGUCAGAGGUGAAAUUCUUGGAUUUAUUGAAGACUAACUACUGCGAAAGCAUUUGCCAAGGAUGUUUUCAUUAAUCAAGAACGAAAGUUAGGGGAUCGAAGACGAUCAGAUACCGUCGUAGUCUUAACCAUAAACUAUGCCGACUAGGGAUCGGAUGAUGUUAAUUUUAAUGACUCAUUCC